Arachis duranensis is the source of this 969-nucleotide long non-coding RNA. RefSeq lists it as uncharacterized. The record is from RefSeq and is a predicted model, not a curated record. Lineage: Eukaryota; Viridiplantae; Streptophyta; Magnoliopsida; Fabales; Fabaceae. The transcript has 5 exons.
GUUAUCAAUUUUUACUACCCAACAACACACACUAAUAACUUACACAGUAAAACAAAGAAACCCUAAAAAUUCAUCUUCUGGCUCGAACCCUAAAAGCUAAGGCGCCGUCAGCUUCAUCGUCGCGAUCGAACCCAGCCCUGGUCGCCUGUCUCUGUGGCGGUGCUGCUCGCCUCAUCUUCUCGAACCCAGCCCUGGUCGUGGUGCUCCUCGCCUGUCUCUGUGGCGGUGCUGCUCGCCUCAUCUUCUCGAACCCAGCCCUGGUCGUGGUCCUGCUCGCCUCUCUCUGUCGCGGUUCUGCUGAGCCUCAUCUUCUCCAACCCAGCCCUGGUCGUGGUGCUUCUCGCCUCUCUCUGUGUCGCGGUUCUGCUCAGCCUCAUCUUCUCCAACCCAGCCCUGGUCGUGGUGCUGCUCGCCUCUCUCUGUGUCGCGGUUCUGCUCGCCUCUCAUCCCGCAUCUGGCAUCAAGUAUCCUCCUUGUUACAAGGACAUCAGUUUCUGGAUCAAUGAAUCAUUUACUGAAAAUAAUCCGUGUGAACUUGUUAGAGGAAUUGCUGGGGAUCUUGUAGAAGAGAGCUUCAGAGAUUUACACAACCAUGUAAAAGUGACGGUUCUCUUCAUUUUUUGGUGGUUGGUGAUUGGGGAAGAAGAGGUGAAUAUAACCAAUCUGAAGUUGCUUACCAGCUACUGCAUGAAAACUGCUUGAAGAGGAAAGUACCUACUAGUGAACAGGGUAGUGAUAAAAACAAUGGAGCUCAUAAUGGAUGAUCACACUACUCAUGAAAUUUGAUAUUUUGUAACUAAGUAUAUAGAAGUAGAUAUGUGACACUUGUUGGAAUGACAAUUCUUAUUUACUUGUUAUGACUUUAUUUUUUGGUACUUUGUCAUCAAAACCUACUUUUAUGGUGACAAUUUUAUAUGUAUGUCUUUUUUUAUAGGAAAGUUUAUAUUUGUUGGAUUAGUUCAAUAUAUA